GAUUCUUUCUUCAUGUUCAAAGCUCUUUUCAGUAUUCCAGCAGGUGCAGUCAUUGUGGACUGGUGAGAGAGGAAGAGAUAGAAAAGCAGCUUAAACUUCUGAACUGUUAAAGAACUCCCAGAGGUCUUGGCUUUGAAUACAAGAAAAGGAAUAUGAAUAUUUGCAUAUAUUUCUAGGUGCUCUUGCCACAAUUGCUGAUUAGUAGAAUGGGUUGGGUGGUGGAGUAUAGCAUAUUAUCCUACGACUGACAAAUGAAG
This 257-nucleotide long non-coding RNA is filed under the name Homo sapiens (human). RNAcentral's name for it is "HSALNT0322879". The record is from RNAcentral. Lineage: Eukaryota; Metazoa; Chordata; Mammalia; Primates; Hominidae.